CAGUAGCCACGGUAAUACGAAGGGUGCAAGCGUUAAUCGGAAUUACUGGGCGUAGAGCGUGCGUAGGCGGUGAGUUAAGUCUGCUGUGAAAUCCCCGGGCUCAACCUGGGAAUGGCAGUGGAUACUGGCUCGCUAGAGUGUGUCAGAGGAUGGUGGAAUUCCCGGUGUAGCGGUGAAAUGCGUAGAGAUCGGGAGGAACAUCAGUGGCGAAGGCGGCCAUCUGGGACAACACUGACGCUGAGGCACGAAAGCGUGGGGAGCAAACAGGAUUAGAUACCCGAGUAGUCCCUGUCUCUUAUAC
RNAcentral lists this ribosomal RNA (301 nucleotides) under uncultured bacterium. RNAcentral describes it as "partial 16S ribosomal RNA". It matches the Rfam family "Bacterial small subunit ribosomal RNA", at positions 509 to 807 of the family's 1533-position model. The record is from RNAcentral.